This 482-nucleotide ribosomal RNA is filed under the name uncultured bacterium. RNAcentral's name for it is "partial 16S ribosomal RNA". It matches the Rfam family "Bacterial small subunit ribosomal RNA", at positions 28 to 507 of the family's 1533-position model. The record is from RNAcentral.
GACGAACGCUGGCGGCGUGCUUAACACAUGCAAGUCGAACGAUGAAGAAGAGAAACGCGAACUUCGUUUCAAAUUUCACUUCGGAUUAGUGGCAGACGGGUGAGUAACGCGUGAGCAACCUACCUCUUACAAAGGGAUAGCCUCGGGAAACCGUGAUUAAUACAAUAUGACACAUUCAUAAAGCAUCUUAAGAAUGUUAAAGCUACGGCGGUAAGCGAUGGGCUCGCGUCACCUUCGCUAGUUGGUUAGGUAACGGCCCACCAAGGCGAGGAUGGGUAACGGGGCUGAGAGGGGGAAAGAUUACAUCGGAAAUGAGACACGGUCCAAACUGCGAGGGGAGGCAGGAGUGGGGAAUAUUGCACAAUGGAGGGAAAUCUGAUGAAGCCACGCAGCGUGAGCGAUGCAGGAAUUCGUAACGUACAGCUAUGUUCUAUGGGGAGAAAAGGACUGUACCAUAGGAGAAAGCCCCGGCUAAAUACGUG